Molecule: unclassified non-coding RNA, 625 nt
Filed under: Hevea brasiliensis (rubber tree)
Lineage: Eukaryota; Viridiplantae; Streptophyta; Magnoliopsida; Malpighiales; Euphorbiaceae
Source: RNAcentral
AACCUCUGGUUUCUGCUCGCUUUGUUCACCGGAAAACGGUUAGAGCUAGUCCUGAAGGUACUUACAUUUUUUACUAUUCUUUUUUGUCUUCAAGUAAAGCAAAAUGCAUAUAAAUCUCAACGGCUUUUCGGUCGAUGUCGGCACCCCUAAUCCGGCGCCGUUUUCAAAAUUUGAAACCGAUUGGUUCUAACAACUUGUUUGAAGUUCUUGAAACGUUGUCGUGUCAUCCAUAACUUCAGUUGAUUUCUACGCUGACAAAAUAAAAUUCAAACAUGGGCGUGUACCUGACGCUUAGUUCGAAAACCCGAAAAAGCCCUUCCUUAAAACUUGGAUUAAUCAUUUUUCGCUUAUUUUUCAGGCGGAAGAGCGUUGAGAGGAGUUACAAAGCCUAAACGGCACGAGACGCUGGAGAACACGUGGAAAAUGAUAACGGAAGGCCGAGCAAUGCCGUUAACAAGACACUUGAAGAGAUGUGAGACGUUAGAGAAUGACGGCCGUCAAAUCCACGUUUCUGAAGUGGACCCUUUUCUUCCAAAGAAAUCAGAGACGUUCAAGGACAGGACCAAUUACCAGCUGCCACCUGUGGGAAACUCUCCUGCACCAGGGAAGCUGAGAAAAGAGCCGU